GCGAGUGCCGCCCCGCCUCACAGGCCCGGUCCUGCCGCGCGUCGCUGACUCAGUUGUCCUGAGGAAAUUUGGACACACAGGGUGACACCAGGAAUGCACAUGCGCGGAGGAAUGGCCAUGUGAGGACACAGGAAGAAGGCAGCCUUCUGAAAGCCAAGGAGAAGCCUCAGGAGAAACUAAACCUGCCUAUACCUUGAUCUUGAACUUCCAGCCUCCAGAACUGUGAAAAAAUAAAGUUUUGUUGUUUAAGCUA
Molecule: long non-coding RNA, 253 nt
Organism: Myotis lucifugus (little brown bat)
Lineage: Eukaryota; Metazoa; Chordata; Mammalia; Chiroptera; Vespertilionidae
Exons: 2
Source: RefSeq, a predicted model, not a curated record